Long non-coding RNA from Acanthopagrus latus (yellowfin seabream), 1476 nucleotides. RefSeq lists it as uncharacterized. The record is from RefSeq and is a predicted model, not a curated record. NCBI's taxonomy places the organism in Eukaryota, Metazoa, Chordata, Actinopteri, Spariformes, Sparidae. The transcript is spliced from 4 exons.
UCAGACGGGGUGCACACUAACACUAACUAACACUAAAAAAGGUGUAAAUAACACUUUUAGAAUAAGUUUAGAAUAAGUUUAGAAUUUCUUGGCUUCUGACGGCUUUGAUGACACAGGACGAGUUGUAUGCUUUUUUUGUUUUAAAAUAUUUUUAAAAUUCAAAUAAUAAUAAUAAUAAUAAUAAUAAUAAUAAUAAUAAUUUUAUACAAUGAAAUACAAUAACAUUUAACAAUAAUCCUGGCUGUGUAAAAACUUCAUCCAUGUUGGUAACCGUGCAGUUGACAGGCUCAGACAUCCUGCUGUUAGUCUACUGUAAACCUAUCCAUUAAUAAUUGGCAGACUUAAGUCCCAAUAAUCAAAACAAACACUGUAUGUUUGCAUUAUAAAUUACUAUAUUAUAAAAGACUACCAAAUCUUUUGCAGUUACAUUUUCACAGGUCUGUCACAGUGUCAUAGUUUGUGACAGUACCAUCAGGGAGUGCCAAUGUUUGAAGAAGAGCCUACAUCAUCCUCCAUGGACAGUAAAACAUAUUCUGUCAAAUAAAAGCUGAUAGUUUCUCAUGCUGCCUCUUAAAUAUACAGUCCCCUCCAAAACUAUUGGAACAGCAAGUCCAAUUGGUUUGCUUCCUUUUUUUUUUGCUGUACAUUGAAAACAUUUGGGUUUGACGCCAAAAGAUGUAUACGAGACAAGAGAUCAGUAUGUCAGCUUCCAUUUCCAGGUAUUUGCAUCCAGAUUUGUAAAAAAAAAAAGAAAAAAAGAAAAGAAAUUCAGAAGAUAGCACCAUUAGAUUGAAGCCACCCAUGUUUUAAGUCAGCAGAAUUCUUGGAACAUGUGACUGACAGGUGUUUUUUGCUGCACAGGUGUGUCCAAUCACAUUAUUAUUACUCAAACAAUAAAUAGUGUUGAAUGUCUACUCUCAGUUUCAGCUUUGAGUUUUGCCACUGCAGGCUGUAUUUAUAGUUACAGUACAUGUACAGUACAAAACACUGUGAGAGCUGUUAAGAAAACCCCUAAAACAACUGUCAGUGACAUCAUCAAAAGCCUCUAGCAGGCAGGAGUGAAGAUGUGUAUCGUCUCUGGGUCGGAGAUGCCGUGCUGUCCCGCCUGGUCGUCCAGCAGGUCAAAGAAGUAUUUGACAGCCAGCGGGACAGGACGACUGGUGCUGAGGAUCACUGUGAACAGGCGGGUCAGGUAUAUCUCAGGGAUGGCCUUGGCCCUCUCUCUCUCCCUCAGGCUGCCUCUGCGGUGUUUGGGCAGCUCAGGCUCCUCACUGGCUUUCACCAGGUGCCACAGCCUCACUCCACCUUCAUCUGCAUCCUCCAGCAUUGGAGUCUCUGCACAGGAUUCUCACCCAGGUCCAGAGAGUCAGCGUGGGGCCUAUGGGAGAAGGAGGUGCCCUUGUACACCUGAUCCAACAGCUUCUCUUUCACCUGUGUGAUGGUGUCACAGUCCAGCACUUUGGAGGGCAGUGGCUG